RNAcentral lists this ribosomal RNA (33 nucleotides) under Barnadesia odorata. Its description in RNAcentral is "partial 18S ribosomal RNA". Lineage: Eukaryota; Viridiplantae; Streptophyta; Magnoliopsida; Asterales; Asteraceae. The record is from RNAcentral.
AAGGAAAAGCUACCUGGUUGAUCCUGCCAGUAG